Molecule: long non-coding RNA, 1061 nt
Filed under: Linum usitatissimum (flax)
Lineage: Eukaryota; Viridiplantae; Streptophyta; Magnoliopsida; Malpighiales; Linaceae
Description: long non-coding RNA (LUSI_LNC006486)
Source: RNAcentral
UUUGAUGUAGUAGUUUGCUUAGGAGGGGAAUUAACUAGAGAAGAAAAAAAAUACGUAAGGAGGCGGAAAGGAAGAAGUUUCCAAGAUGAAGAUGUCGCGUUGAUGUGGAUGGAAUACGCGCUAUCACCUUUCAGCCGCCCAACCCUGGUCCAACCAUAGACAUAAUCAUAUGCUUUUUCGGUAUAAAUACAGACACAUAUCCUUGCAGAGAAUAACGAACCAACCAACCCCGAUUUCCAACUCUCCAUCAUUCAAUCAUCUUUUCCUUUUGUUCUUUUUCUUCUUCAUCUUCUUCUCCGUCACUAAACAAACAUAACCCGCCCAUCGAGAUGACUCACCAGUCUCCAGCUACAGCUACUUCCGGUGAGUUUUCUCAUAACCAGCUCCUUUCCCGGCCGGCCUGGUUUUGUUAAUUCAUCUCAGACCCGGUUCAUCCACUGUUUAUAUUCCACGGCCAUCAAAUACCCGUGUGACGGUCCACCAUAUUUUGGUUGACUUUUGGUCAUGAUCAGCGUUUUAAUUAUUUGUGUGAUUAAAUUCAGGCGGAGUACCAGCAGCAACAUACCCGCAGCUGCCGCAAUCGUACGCAGGCGGAGCGCCUCCCCCGAUCGGACACCAGCGCCGCGCGAUAAUUUUAAUUAAAUUUGUGCGUUGAAUUAUUAUUAUUAUGUUAUUGUAGUUGCGCUGCAUUGUGCUGCUGCUGUGUGCUGGACGCCUGUUUCUGAGGGACCGGUGUCGAAUAUUUGGGAAGAUGAUGAUGAUGAUGAUGAUGACAAUUAUUAAUUAAUUGUUUCUUUUGUUUUUAGUUUUUUUUUUGAAUUAAUAUAUAGUUUUUUAAAUUGCGCGCCGUGCUUGACUAUCAUACUUCAUCAUAAAUAAUGUAAUGCAAGUUUUUUUGCAGUUUAUAUACCUAUUUUUUCUGCCCACCUUGCCACCUUGGUAUUGCACGACAUUUUUUUUCUUCAAAAACUUUCGAAGGAGAUAUUCGGAUAGCACAACAAUCUAAAUUAAGAAACCAAUCUAAUAUAAUAAAAAAGGAGCGUAGGAGGAGGAAGGGAGAA